UGUACAAACUGAUCGUUAACAUUGAUGGUUAGAAAAAACAAAACAAUGAACCAGACAAAGAGCUUUCGCUGGGAUUAACAGUACAUGAUCAGAAUUUUCACUAUAAAUUUCAUCUCAUUUGAUGAUAUAUGCAUUCGACCUAAGUCAACGUAACACAAGUCUAAAAAUGCAGAACAUAGAAAUAAUUUGCGAUUCACACGAAUUAUUCAUUACAGAUAAUAAGACAGGGUUCUACACAGAACCCUGUGAUCAUGUCAUUUGCAUGGUGUGCUUUAAGUUCCUUCACGAAACAGGAAUGUGCCAUGUUUCGGAAUGCAAGAACACUGGCAUCACCCGCGUAAAGGGGUUCAAUCAACCCCCACCAGAGGCAGUUUAAAAGUUUCAGAACUUCAAGCUCAAGAAUUAUGGGAAAAAAUCCAUUGAAUUAAAUUUAUUCAAAGAUUUCAAAAGUUCUUCAAAACAUUCAACAGGUAAAAAUAAUCCACUGACCUAGGGCAUUCACCAUUUUUCAUACAUCGGUUCACUGGUCAAGCACAAAGCAUUCAGUCGAGGUUGCAAGGUUCAAAUUUGAAUAAUCCUUUGAAAGUCCCUGGGCGCCCCGCUUGAGGGCUUUGUGUUUGACCAGUGAAUCAAUGUAUGGAAAAUGGUGAAUAGUUAACCAGGGAUGAACUAGUAGGGCAAGCCCAGGCAAAACCAAAAAUUUGAAUCAUAAAAAAAAUACAUAUGGCUCUUGUGUUUACUGUAUUCCACAGACUUUGUUUGUACAGUAUAUGAUGAACAAUAAAGCAUGCUUGAAGACUACUCUCUCAA
Molecule: long non-coding RNA, 810 nt
Organism: Actinia tenebrosa (Australian red waratah sea anemone)
Lineage: Eukaryota; Metazoa; Cnidaria; Anthozoa; Actiniaria; Actiniidae
Source: RefSeq, a predicted model, not a curated record